AAAAUCAUUAAAAAAGUUUAAAAGCCCUUCUUCAAAAGUGGCUGUAAGACGUUUAAGACAGUAGAGUAGAAUUUACAUUGGAGAUUGUUUUACACACGAUGGAGAGAUUUUCGUGAUCUACACGGCCUGAAAACGGAUGAAGAGUUGGCAAAGUAUCUUUUAGACAGUCAUCAGUCCAAAUAUGAAGCAUCAACAUCUACACCAUUGAAGCGCCAACUGUGUAUUUCUCCAACACCAGUGCCAGCUCUGUCUAGCAUUCAUGGAGAGUCAUCUGAAAGGGAUGAUAAUUUGGAGGAGGUGAUGGAACAAGGUGAAACUAACAAAGAAGGAUCUUCACAAAUGAUAGAGUCAUCAGAUGACACAUGGUCACCAAACAGAGAACCAGAAGUUGAUUUGUCUUCAGAGGAGGACGAAACCAUCGAGAUGGACAGCGGUACUGAUGACAGCGGUGAUGAGGACUACACACCUUAUAUACACAUAAGGUAAUUCCUUUCGUUUAACAUUCUAUAAAACUGCAAUAGCGCAUAGUUAAUAAAAAGCUUUUGUUCACAGGACUGGAGCAGCAUUACAAACAACAUUACAA
This is a non-coding RNA of Nothobranchius furzeri (turquoise killifish), 583 nucleotides long. Lineage: Eukaryota; Metazoa; Chordata; Actinopteri; Cyprinodontiformes; Nothobranchiidae. The record is from RefSeq and is a predicted model, not a curated record.